GUUUUGUUUGAAAGAAAAUUUUGAUAAGGAUGGAAGAUCUUAAGUGGUUUUCAUCAACAUAUGUGGUUAAAACUUUGUCACCUUCUCCGUGGCAUGUCAAACCAGGGUUUUCC
Small nuclear RNA from Xyrauchen texanus (razorback sucker), 113 nucleotides. NCBI's taxonomy places the organism in Eukaryota, Metazoa, Chordata, Actinopteri, Cypriniformes, Catostomidae. The record is from RefSeq and is a predicted model, not a curated record.